AUGCCUUAAAGUUAUGAGUAAGGAAAAUAACGAUUCGGGGUGACGCCCGAGUCCUCACUGCUUAUGUGAGAAGAAUUUUUUGAGCGGGUAUAGGUUGCAAUCUGAGGCAACCCGCCUACUUUGCGGGAUGCCUGGGUAACGCGAUCUGCCCG
This 152-nucleotide small nuclear RNA is filed under the name Mus spicilegus (steppe mouse). RNAcentral describes it as "U12 minor spliceosomal RNA (ENSMSIG00000027181.1)". It matches the Rfam family "U12 minor spliceosomal RNA". Rfam says of the family: Although the U12 sequence is very divergent from that of U2, the two are functionally analogous. The record is from Rfam by way of RNAcentral. Lineage: Eukaryota; Metazoa; Chordata; Mammalia; Rodentia; Muridae.